Perca fluviatilis (European perch) is the source of this 1364-nucleotide long non-coding RNA. RefSeq lists it as uncharacterized. The record is from RefSeq and is a predicted model, not a curated record. The transcript has 2 exons. NCBI's taxonomy places the organism in Eukaryota, Metazoa, Chordata, Actinopteri, Perciformes, Percidae.
CUCCACCAUAUCCUUUUUGUCCGCUACAAGCUGCUGUAGCUGGCUUGCCAUCUUUGCUGAUGCUGUAUCUCAGACUGAUUCUAACAAGAGAAAAAAUAUUGACAUGGUCAGAAACAGUCUGUUGUGAUAUAUUUAAGAUAUUCUAGGAACAAGCAUACAGGGGAAAAACUGAACACAAAUGAGGCAGAAAGUAUCAGACAUUUCAGUUUUACCGACAGACACAAAUGUUGGGUUUUCUUGAUGUACUUACAGUUCUGUUCCAGUGUUGGUGGACUGCGGCCUGCCUUCUUGUUCCUCUUACAACACAGCAAAAACUGAUAAGGAAAGAAAGAAACAGCCAAGUGAGUUCAGUGCUGGCUGCUGGCCACACCCAGUGAGCGAUGAGUCAACAAUGCAAAGAGAAUUCAGCAGUGACAAAAAGCUGGGUCCCAGGGGUUGUGUUACUGCAGUCUGAGUGCAUGUGAAGCACCAUCACACACACAAUUUAAACAUAAAAGUGCUUAAAGAAAUCACAUUUUCAGAGACAGAGAGCUGCAGGUGCAUCUCACCAGAGAUAUGAAGUCCAGGCUAACAGACAAGCAUAACAAGUCUUGUUUUUGUAAACUAAUAUUUCCACCUAUGCCCAGUAAUAUACAGUGAUGGAAAGUAACAAAGUACAUUUACUGUACUGAAGUACAACCUUGAUGCACGUAACCUGAGUAUUUCCAUGUUAUGCUACUUUAUUUCAGAGGGAAACAUUGUACUCUUUACUCCACUGCAUUUAUUUGACAGCUAUAUAGUUACUACUACUUUUCAGAUUAAAAUUGUACAUAAAGAAAGAUAACCAUGUAAAAUAAAAUGCACCGUUAAUAAUGAUUUCCAACCAUUUAAGCUUGUGACCUAUAUCUAUGCUUGUGACCCCUUGUUAUAUUUCAGGUAUGAAAACUAACACACUUGUGAGAGGGUUUAAUUUAAAUAACUGUUUGAUGGUUACCUAUAUUUCAUAAAAACGCAAAUAUUAGUAAAAAGUCCCCAAAAAAAUGAAUAGAGAUUUGAGAAAUAGAUCUUUUGUUUUAGUUUUGUCUUGUUUCCUACCACAUUAAUUAUCUCCCAACAGUAAUCAUCAUGCAUCAGUAUCUAAUAAUGCAAUAAUAUGUCAGUCGAGGACAUUUUUCUGCAAGAUGAGUACUUUUGAUCUACUUUAAAUACAUUUAGCUGAUAGUACUUUUAUGUUGUAGUUUACAGUGUGGUAUUUGCACUUUGUUUUAGUUCAAACUGGUAAUAAAUAGUUUUAUGUAAUGUGCUGAACAACAGUAAGCUACAUUGGAAAUAUUUAACAGCAUUUGCGAUUAUGAUAAAAAAAAAAAAAAUAAACCGAAGUGAAA